Molecule: transfer RNA, 93 nt
Organism: Sphaerobolus stellatus SS14
Lineage: Eukaryota; Fungi; Basidiomycota; Agaricomycetes; Geastrales; Sphaerobolaceae
Rfam family: tRNA
About the family: Transfer RNA (tRNA) molecules are approximately 80 nucleotides in length. Their secondary structure includes four short double-helical elements and three loops (D, anti-codon, and T loops). Further hydrogen bonds mediate the characteristic L-shaped molecular structure. tRNAs have two regions of fundamental functional importance: the anti-codon, which is responsible for specific mRNA codon recognition, and the 3' end, to which the tRNAs corresponding amino acid is attached (by aminoacyl-tRNA synthetases). tRNAs cope with the degeneracy of the genetic code in two manners: having more than one tRNA (with a specific anti-codon) for a particular amino acid; and 'wobble' base-pairing, i.e. permitting non-standard base-pairing at the 3rd anti-codon position.
Source: Rfam
ACUGGGGUGGGGUAGUGGUAACCUGCAUGCUUCCCAAUGCGGAGUUCUGCAGUAUAUUAGCAUGCGCGCCGGGUUCGAUUCCCGGUCCUAGUA